AGCAGCGUGGCUUAAUGGGUAGAGCGCGGGCCUGGACGUCAGAAGGACCUGGGUUCCAAUCCUGGCUCUGCCA
Molecule: transfer RNA, 73 nt
Filed under: Ornithorhynchus anatinus (platypus)
Lineage: Eukaryota; Metazoa; Chordata; Mammalia; Monotremata; Ornithorhynchidae
Rfam family: tRNA
About the family: Transfer RNA (tRNA) molecules are approximately 80 nucleotides in length. Their secondary structure includes four short double-helical elements and three loops (D, anti-codon, and T loops).
Source: Rfam by way of RNAcentral